Molecule: ribosomal RNA, 585 nt
Filed under: Triticum aestivum (bread wheat)
Lineage: Eukaryota; Viridiplantae; Streptophyta; Magnoliopsida; Poales; Poaceae
Description: partial small subunit ribosomal RNA
Source: RNAcentral
AUGAGUCAUCCGGCCUACGGUGAUGCGUGGCAGGAUUUCGAUAAAAAAUAUAAAAAAAUUGCAGAAGAUGCCAGAAACAUGAGGCUUGGCAUUGCCACUGAUGGGUUCAAUCCUUUCGGAAACUUCAACACAAGCUAUAGUCCCAAAUCACCUGGCAAGCACUUCGAUGUCUUUCUACAGCCACUUGUAGAAGAUUUACUUGAGCUUUGGAAGGGUGUGCGUACAUAUGAUGCUUAUAGCGGAAAAAUGUUUGAUCUUCAUGCUGCAGUUCUAUGGUGCAUUCACGAUCACCCAGCGCUGAGCACUCUUUCAGGGCGUACUACAAGAGGCUAUGCUGCAUGUAUUCAUUGUGACAAACACCCUCUUUCGUACGGCCUAAGGAGCAAAAAUGGAUAUAUUGGACACUACCGUUUUCUUCCAAAGGGACAUCGUUUGCGAAGAAACAAUGAAUUUGUUGGUCUUCAUGAACGCAAUGAUGAGCCGGGUAAAUUCUCCAAGGAAGAGCUGCAAGUAGAAUUCGAGAAGGUUAGACCCGGGCAACAACAAGAAAGCAGGAAAAGGCUCAUGUGCCAAUUUGGAGCCUGA